RNAcentral lists this ribosomal RNA (119 nucleotides) under Amphilophus citrinellus (Midas cichlid). The record is from RNAcentral. Lineage: Eukaryota; Metazoa; Chordata; Actinopteri; Cichliformes; Cichlidae.
GCUUGCGGCCAUACCACCCUGAACAUGCCCGAUCUCAUCUGAUCUUGACUGCUUAGCAGGGUCAGGCCUGAAUAGGACUUGGAUGGGAGACCACCUGGGAAUACCAGGUGCUGUAAGCU